CCUAUAGCUUGGUUAUUUUGAGGAUGUUAUUUAAGUGGAAUCAUAUAUUGUUUAACUUUUAGGGAUUGGCUUUUUUCACUCAGCAUAAAUUGCUUGAGAUUUAUUCAAGUGAUGAUUGCAUAUAUCAAUAAUUUGUGCCUUUUUGCUGCUGAGUAAUAUUCCAUGAUAUGGGUGUACCAAAGUUUAGCUAUAUACUCAGUGAAGGAUAUCUGAGUUGUUUCCGCUUUGUGUAUACUGCACAAAGCUAUUACAGACAUUUGUGCAGAGGUUUCUUGUUUGUUUGUUUGUUUUAGACAGAGUUUUGAUUUCUUUCCCAGGCUGAAGUGCAAGGGUGCAACCUCUGCUCACUGCAACUUCCACCUCCCAGGUACAAGCAAUUCUGUCUCAGCCUCUCGAGUAGCUGAGAUUAGAGGAAUAAGAAAUCAUCAACCCAAUGUGGAUGGAUAUACACUCUCUCAAAAAGAUUAUACAACCCAGCGUCCUUGUGCUGCCAAAUUCAGAGUCUUCAAGCUGACCUGGAAGCCUUCCUGCCACUCUUGCACUGCUGAGAUGGAACCAGGUCAGCCCGUGGCUUUGGAAGAAGCUGCUUGACUAAGGAAAGGAGAGCAUGUUGAGAAGGAGGCAGGAGAAGCAUGAAGAAAAAGAGCAUAGGAACAGUAGAGGCUUUGCAGGAAUUUUGAGAAGAAUCAAACUCUUCCUAUCUUGACUAUCAGCCUCCAAAGAGAAAGCCAAAAAAACAAAAUCUAUGUUAAUGUAUUUUCUGCUUCAUAAAGCAUCAGUCUCAAGGGGAAAAUGCAGAGUGGAUUACAUAGCCUCCUCAAGACAUUUCUUUGUUUGUUUGUUUUCUUUUCUUUUUUUUUUUUUUUUUUUUUUUUGGCAGAGCUACUAGCUGAGGUUUUGUUUUGGACAAAAAAAAGGAAUUGAAUUGUUUUGCAGCUGGAGGCAUGGGCAAAGGGGUCCCCAGGCAGUAGACUCCUCUGCAGGUGGGCCGAGGGCUAGGGCUGAGCCUCAGGUGGGUCUUCUGUUCUCCGAGCUCCCCUGCACAGCAGCCUCCCUCCCAGGCUCUCGGCAGUCUCAGGAACUGCAACAGCAGCCAUGCAUUUGGACAGGACAUCAGAGGACUCGGACACCAGCCUCUCAUCGCAGGUCUCAAUCUUCUUCACAACCACGGCCUUGGUGGUGCUGGUGAGGCCAAACGAGCAGGAGCCUGCAUCAGAGCCAAAGCUGGAACCCAAGCCAUAGCUGAGGCCAGGGCUUGUGAGGCCCCCAUACGCUGAGCUCAGACCACCUGCAUAGCCGCUGGUGGUCUUCGUAUGGAUACUCAUGUUCUGCAUCCCAGACUCCAGCUGGCUCUCCUCACCCUCCAGCAGCUUCCUGUAGGUGAUGAUCUCAAUGUCCAGGGCUAGCUUGACGUUCAUCAGCUCCUGGUACUCACACAGCUACUGCACCAUGUCCCGCUUAGCCUGCUGUAGGGUGGCCUCCAACUCAGGCAGCUUGGUGUUGGCA
This 1506-nucleotide long non-coding RNA is filed under the name Callithrix jacchus (white-tufted-ear marmoset). RNAcentral describes it as "lncRNA (ENSCJAG00000081681.1)". The record is from RNAcentral. Lineage: Eukaryota; Metazoa; Chordata; Mammalia; Primates; Cebidae.